UACGGAGGGGACUAGCGUUGUUCGGAAUUACUGGGCGUAAAGCGCGCGUAGGCGGAUUUGUAAGUCGGGGGUGAAAUCCCGGGGCUCAACCUCGGAACUGCCUUCGAUACUGCAAAUCUCGAGUCCGGAAGAGGUGAGUGGAAUUCCUAGUGUAGAGGUGAAAUUCGUAGAUAUUAGGAAGAACACCAGUGGCGAAGGCGGCUCACUGGUCCGGUACUGACGCUGAGACGCGAAAGCGUGGGGAGCGAACAGG
This 253-nucleotide ribosomal RNA is filed under the name uncultured bacterium. RNAcentral's name for it is "partial 16S ribosomal RNA". It matches the Rfam family "Bacterial small subunit ribosomal RNA", at positions 524 to 776 of the family's 1533-position model. The record is from RNAcentral.